Long non-coding RNA from Talpa occidentalis (Iberian mole), 2180 nucleotides. RefSeq lists it as uncharacterized. The transcript has 11 exons. The record is from RefSeq and is a predicted model, not a curated record. NCBI's taxonomy places the organism in Eukaryota, Metazoa, Chordata, Mammalia, Eulipotyphla, Talpidae.
UCUUUUCCUUUUCCUACAGAUGUCUCCUUCCCCACUGCUUCUAUUGUGUUUGAAGAGCCUUUUAUUUUCUAGGUGGCUGUGGGGUGGCUCCCGGAAUAUUGGAUGAGCCCCAUAAUGUCCUGAAGACUGCCCCUGAUCAAUAGAGUCCACUAGAUGGCGCCCAGAUCUACGCUGCGUGUUGCCUCAGCUAGGCUCAGGCCUGGGAAGGGCUGUGGAUUUUCUAAGAAUGGCUGGAAAGAUCAAAAGGAUUCAAGAGCACAGUUUCCGUAAGGUCGGCUCCAAAUUGUUGUAAGCCCGGUGCUCCUUCAAACUGUUAUUGUAAUGGGAUCCCCAAAUAUGGGCAAUGAUGGUGGUCUUUUUGUUUGUUUGUUUUUGAUGGUGUAAUUUUGAGUAGAGAAAACCUGCAAUUCUACUGUGUGAGACUUAACCAUAAGCAGGGAGACAGCCGUUUCGCUGCAUUUCACAGCCUAUUCAAGGACAAAUAGCAUGCUGGAGACUUAGAAGCUACACCUUAAUGCCCAAGUAUUGAUUUAGGCAAGGACACUGCGUUUUAUGGGAAAGGGAAACAAAAACUAGAAGGUAUCAAAAAAGGGAGAGAUUAUUUUAAUAAUAACCUUUCGUUUGGGCACAAACCGAACACUUUGACAACUGAACGCUUUGCUUGAUAUACAAAAUUGAGCCUAUAUUCUGAUGUUGCUUUUCAUAGUAGAAAUGAAGUGUUUUGUUUUUCUUUUGAAUAGCGCUGGGUAAUCUUCAUUUUGCAUAUGAAAUGCUGAAGGCUUUGUAGUGUUUAUAUUUUAUUACUCUUCUAAAAAGGGGCUGAUCGCUUCAAUUCAAAGUAGUGGAUAAUGACUUUGGCAGCAUUUCCCUGCCUUUUUUAAGUUUCUGGAAGCCCAUUUCUCAUCAUUAGGCUGAAGAUGCAGAUCAGAAAGGAUGAGCCUUAUUCUGGAGCUUGUCACAUCAAUGUUGGUUCUUAGGUGAUUAAAAAGAAGCAGCGGAUCUUGAAGAAAACGUCUGACAAAAGAAUGAUCCACAAAACUGUUACCAAAGAGGGAAGAAUUCGGAGGCAAAAAAGAACCAUGGUGAGCCCACACAGUUUGAUCAGGAAGGUGAAAGAUAUCUGUGCCUUUGGCUAAAGAGUCAAGAAAGAGGCUACAUGAACCUUACUUGAGUCAGUGAGCUGAUGGCCCAGAGAGCCAGAGCUUAGGGUCUCCUUACUCCAGUUGCAUUACAGAGGAAUGGCCAGAAUCUUGUUCAGUCUCCUCAGUUGUUCCCUUAAGUUUGAUGGCCAUUCGCUUUCACUGAGAUAUGUUACAAGAAACUACAGAGAUGUUGGGCCCCCAAUGUGAAGCCCACCUGAGAAAUUCCCUUGGAACUCAAGAUCAUUUGCUCCUGAAAUCAAAUGGAUGGGAAAGGGGAAGAUUGAGGCAUACAAGCAAGUGGCUUCAGCUCUGAGAGGCUGGUGUCUACAGGCUGCAAGCAGGAAGGGUCCAUGAAACUCACAGCAGCCCAGGAUGCUCUAAUGAAGUUUUAGACCUUUUCCCAAGAGGUGCAUCUCCUGAACAUGUCAGAUUGAGCAGAGUUUGCUAAUUUCACUCCUUCUCGAAUGCGCUAGGAAAGCAAAUUCGUUGGUCAGAGACCCAUCUCACAGCAUAGAUCUUUUUACUCCUGGCUUCAUGAGAAGGUAGAGAAUGAUCAAGAAAUAGAUGUUUUUCCAAGAAAUUCAGACAAACUGAAAAGAAAGGUAGUCCAAGGAUUUGGGGUUAACAAUUGUAUGUUGGCACCUUUGGAAAGGUCCAGAAAUCCACAUGUUGAACAUGAAUCUGGGGCUGCCAUUGUACAUUCCACAACUUGAUUCUCUGUAAUCAGUUGCUCAGGAUGACAUCUGAUCUCUGGUAGAUGCCCCUCAGGAUGGACUGAGUCUGCUGGAGCUUUUCCUAGGGCACAGUCUCCUGCAUCUCCAUGGUGGAAUGAAAAGGUUGGCCUGAGAUUUCAGCCACUGUGAACAGAAUUAGACAAGAGUGCAGAAAAGUAUAUUCUUCUCUAAGACAAUGCAGUUUCCUGGAGAACACCCACCAGGUUUGUGGUGAAGAGACCUAGUCCCAACCUUCAUUCUUCUCUGCUGGAUCUCUGCUAUCUCUAGCCUCGGACUGGCCACAUUGCCGCUGGGAGCCUCACUC